AUCCGAUUAUCGGUAAGCAGGAACUUGAGUGCCAGAGGAGGGACAGUGGUACUCCAUGUGGUAGCGGGUGGAAUGCGUAAGAAUAAUAUGGGAAAGAACACCCAGUGGCGGAAGGCGGCUGUCUUGUCUGUAACUGACGCUGAGGGCUCCGAAGCAUGGUAGCGAACAGGAUUAGAUACCUGGUAGUCCAUGCCGUAAACGAUGAAUGCUAGGUGUGGGAGGGUUUCCGCCCUUCAGUGCCGCAGCUAACGCAUUAAGCAUUCCGCCUGGGGAGUACGACCGCAAGGUUGAAACUCAAAGGAAUUGACGGGGGCCCGCACAAGCGGUGGAGCAUGUGGUUUAAUUCGAAGCAACGCGAAGAACCUUACCAGGUCUUGACAUCUUUUGAUCACCUGAGAGAUCAGGUUUCCCCUUCGGGGGCAAAAUGACAGGUGGUGCAUGGUUGUCGUCAGCUCGUGUCGUGAGAUGUUGGGUUAAGUCCCGCAACGAGCGCAACCCUUAUGACUAGUUGCCAGCAUUUAGUUGGGCACUCUAGUAAGACUGCCGGUGACAAACCGGAGGAAGGUGGGGAUGACGUCAAAUCAUCAUGCCCCUUAUGACCUGGGCUACACACGUGCUACAAUGGAUGGUACAACGAGUUGCGAGACCGCGAGGUCAAGCUAAUCUCUUAAAGCCAUUCUCAGUUCGGACUGUAGGCUGCAACUCGCCUACACGAAGUCGGAAUCGCUAGUAAUCGCGGAUCAGCACGCCGCGGUGAAUACGUUCCCGGGCCUUGUACACACCGCCCGUCACACCAUGAG
This 800-nucleotide ribosomal RNA is filed under the name Lactobacillus delbrueckii/Acetobacter pastuerianus fusant. RNAcentral describes it as "bacterial SSU rRNA". It matches the Rfam family "Bacterial small subunit ribosomal RNA", at positions 618 to 1408 of the family's 1533-position model. The record is from RNAcentral.